ACCGCACCGCAACAGUAAUUACUCUGUGCGUAGCAGCGUCAGAAGGAGAAGAAGAAGAAGAAGAAGAAGAAGAAGAAGAAGAAGAAGAAGAAGAAGAAGGUUUGGGAUGGAAAGAGUAGGGAGGUGGUUAAAUGAGUAUGUGUUCCAUAACCCAUUCUUGCAUUUCUGUGAGCAACUCCUCAACUCCUUCUUCAACUCUUUUCCUUUUCAUCAUCCCCAUCAUCUUCAUCAAGAAGAAGAAGAAGAAGGAGGAGGAGGAGGAGAAGGUGUCACUGCAGCAGCAGUAGAUCCUCCCCAACCAGAAACAGGAUUAGUACGUGACAUUUAAUUUAUAACUAAUCUCUUAACUACUUCCUUCCUUUCUUCUUUCUUGAUCAUCUCAUAAUACUGACUAUUACUUGCAGCAGGAGGAGGAGCCCACACAAUCAGCAUCACUAGCAGUGACGACCUCCCUUCGGGCAACAACACUUCCUCCUAGACCUCCGGUCAGCUCCGGCGGUGGCGCCCAAAUUAAUUAAUUAAUCCCGCUUUACUUACCAUACUACUACAUUAGUUAUUUUCCUAACUGCCAUCUCCAUGUAACUACAAUACGGUUUUGUUGUUUCGUUACCUUUCUGUGCAUCCUUAACUCAAGAGUAUGUUUGUUCGAGCUUUACUAGGUUUAAGUUUAGCUCGUUGUUGAGUGAUAAAUUAAAUAUCUUAUUGAGUUCUAGUUUAUUAAUUAUUAUUGGGGACUCAAUUUUAGACUCAACUCC
RNAcentral lists this long non-coding RNA (755 nucleotides) under Linum usitatissimum (flax). RNAcentral describes it as "long non-coding RNA (LUSI_LNC006418)". Lineage: Eukaryota; Viridiplantae; Streptophyta; Magnoliopsida; Malpighiales; Linaceae. The record is from RNAcentral.